Molecule: non-coding RNA, 30 nt
Filed under: Homo sapiens (human)
Lineage: Eukaryota; Metazoa; Chordata; Mammalia; Primates; Hominidae
Source: RNAcentral
UGCAGAGAGAAGAUGCGGUGAGACCACAGA